Molecule: ribosomal RNA, 481 nt
Filed under: Selenomonas sp. oral taxon F21
Lineage: Bacteria; Bacillati; Bacillota; Negativicutes; Selenomonadales; Selenomonadaceae
Description: bacterial SSU rRNA
Rfam family: Bacterial small subunit ribosomal RNA
Source: RNAcentral
GACGAACGCUGGCGGCGUGCUUAACACAUGCAAGUCGAACGGAGCGAAUGAAAGCUUGCUUUUAUGAGCUUAGUGGCAAACGGGUGAGUAACACGUAGACAACCUGCCGACAGGAUGGGGACAACAUUCCGAAAGGAAUGCUAAUACCGAAUGAAGUCGAGGGAAGGCAUCUUCCUUCGAUGAAAGAUGGCCUCUGAAAAUGCUAUCACCUGUCGAUGGGUCUGCGUCUGAUUAGCUGGUUGGUGAGGUAACGGCUCACCAAGGCGACGAUCAGUAGCCGGUCUGAGAGGAUGAACGGCCACAUUGGGACUGAGACACGGCCCAGACUCCUACGGGAGGCAGCAGUGGGGAAUCUUCCGCAAUGGGCGCAAGCCUGACGGAGCAACGCCGCGUGAGUGAAGAAGGUCUUCGGACCGUAAAGCUCUGUUGACGGGGACGAACGUGCGAAGGGUGAAUAAUCCUUUGCAAUGACGGUACCUGU